CAUGAUUCAGACUACGGCGUUUAUAUGUUCAACAAUAGGAAACGUUGUUUUAGCUGUUUUAAAAUUACACCAAGUUUAUUUCGGAUUAUUCCAACGGAAUUAUACAAGGCGCAGGGAACUUUGAGCUGCGUAAACGCCACUUGCAGGUGCGUAAACGCUAUUUAUAGGUGCGUAAACGCUAUUUAUAGAAUGAUGAAAAGGCACCCAGCCCUUUCUCAUCUCCAGGCUUUCCCAAUUAAUUAAAAAUGCUUUGCAUUGGAGAAUGGAUUACUGAAAAGGACACCAGCGCCUGGCGCUCAGCCCGCACAACCCGGAAGCCCGAGAUCGCGGUGCUCCUCGCCUCGGACAGCGACAGAGGCGGAGUGGUUUGGGCUGACUGCAGCGUGGCUACCCGGACGACGGUUGGGCUGUUGACUGGGUCCCUCACUUGCUCCUCACAUUUUUCAGUUGUGUGUCAGUCAGUAUAUUCUCUUAUUUUAUUCAUUUUUUUGCUUUUGGUUUUUGAUUGAUAUUGUUUGGCGUGUGUGGAGAACUGGAGCCAGUGAGGGUCCUGUCCCAGGCCCGCUACAGCCCAGUUACCCAUAGAACCGGAGUUGUUUAGUAAAAGCUUUUUGUUAUCUUACUAAAUUCCCUGAGCUGAC
Gasterosteus aculeatus aculeatus (three-spined stickleback) is the source of this 641-nucleotide long non-coding RNA. Lineage: Eukaryota; Metazoa; Chordata; Actinopteri; Perciformes; Gasterosteidae. The record is from Ensembl.